CUCAGAGGCAUCCCUCCCGAUACGUCAAGUUAUGUUAUGUUUCGGGGUAAUUUCUCUACGACAAUUAGCGGACACACGUAUUGACAGUACACGUGUUUACCGCCUUACUGCGGCAACCACAGAUGGUAUUCAGGAGUCCAAACAGGUACCGUGAGCGACGACAUCGCACCGGUUUGUUUACUAUCGUCUUCUGAGAUGGACUUCAACUCUUUUAUUCUUAUCCUGCGUGAGGGUGGACUUCUCCCUACACUAUUUGGCAUGAUGCCUCCUGCUCAAACUGGCCCAGUCCCCUCCAGCCUUCAUCCUUCCAUCUUUAUAUCACAGCAACGUACCAAGCUCUCCUCGGUGUUUGGGGUUUGACAACCGCUCCCCUCACAACACCCGUUGGCUGGCAUACCGGGGAUUUGAUGCGGCGCUUUGUCUACUGCAAGGUGGUGUUGACCACCUCUUUAGUUUGGGUGCUGGUGGAUGUCUUCUUGCUGCUCUACUUCAGCGAGUGUAACAAAUGUGACGACAGGAAGGACCGCUCGCUCCUUCCUGCCCUACGCGCUGUGAUAUCCCGUAGCCACGGGGGUCCCGGUGAGAUGGGCAAGGCAGUGAACAUCCCCAAGGAAGAUCACGAGAAGAUGAAGGAGCUCUUUAAGAUAAACCAGUUCAAUCUCAUGGCCAGCGAUAUGAUUGCACUCAACAGGAGUUUACCGGAUGUCAGGUUGGAUGGCUGUAAGACCAAGGUAUACCCUGACAACUUGCCAAACACCAGCAUAGUCAUCGUGUUCCACAAUGAGGCAUGGAGCACAUUGCUGCGGACAGUCCAUAGUGUCAUCACCCGCUCUCCUAGGCACUUGCUUGUGGAAAUUCUACUGGUGGAUGACUUCAGUGAGAGAGACUUCUUAGGUAAAAAGUUGGAGGAUUAUGCGCAAACACUGGAUGUGCCAGUAAAAAUCCUAAGGAUGGAGCAGCGUUCAGGUCUCAUCCGAGCUAGAUUGAGGGGAGCGGCUGCCACGAGGGGACAGGUCAUCACUUUCCUGGACGCCCACUGUGAAUGUACUGUCGGGUGGUUGGAACCCCUGCUGGUCCGCAUCAAAGAGGACAGGACAGCAGUAGUGUGUCCCAUCAUUGACGUCAUCAGUGACGAGUCCUUCGAAUACCUGGCCGGCUCUGAUAUGACCUACGGGGGAUUUAACUGGAAGCUCAAUUUUCGCUGGUACCCUGUUCCUCAGCGGGAGAUGGAUCGGCGCAAGGGUGACAGAACACUUCCUGUCAGAACCCCCACCAUGGCAGGAGGGCUGUUCUCUAUAGACAAAACAUACUUUGAAGAAAUAGGAAGCUACGAUCCAGGGAUGGAUAUCUGGGGUGGAGAGAACUUAGAGAUGUCGUUCAGAAUCUGGCAGUGUGGCGGCUCCUUGGAGAUUGUCACAUGUUCCCACGUUGGCCACGUUUUCCGGAAGGCUACACCUUACAGUUUCCCCGGUGGAACAGGCCAAGUUAUCAACAAGAACAACCGGCGGCUGGCAGAAGUCUGGAUGGAUGACUUCAAAGAUUUCUUCUAUAUCAUAUCCCCAGGAGUGAUGCGUGUGAACUACGGUGACGUAUCUUCCCGAAAAGCCCUUCGUGAAGCCUUGAAGUGCAAACCGUUCUCCUGGUACCUGGAGAACAUCUACCCAGACUCCCAGAUCCCGAGAAGAUAUUACUCGCUCGGUGAAAUCAGGAACGUUGAGACCAACCAAUGUGUUGACAACAUGGGACGAAAGGAGAAUGAGAAAGUUGGCUUUUUCAACUGCCACGGCAUGGGUGGAAACCAGGUGUUCGCUUACACGGCAGACAAAGAAAUCCGAACAGACGACCUCUGUUUGGACGUUUCCCGCCUCAACGGGCCUGUCAUCAUGCUCAAGUGUCACCACAUGAAGGGCAAUCAGAUGUUUGAGUACGACGCCGAGUUUGUUGGCAAAUGGGAAUAUGAUUUUGAGAGACUUACCUUGCUGCACGCCAACAGCAACCAGUGUUUGGACAUGCCGUCGGAGGAGGACAGGACGGUCCCCGCCUUGAGGGACUGCAACAGGAGCCGCUCCCAGCAGUGGCUGCUCCGCAACAUGACCCUGAAGGUGCUCACAGACUCCAACGUACAAUGGGCGGAGCGGACUCCGCACUGAAGGUCACCACGGCUUCCGUAGUCAACGUGGUAGUUUUCUGUGAAGUUUCUGUUAAACACGACAUUCCCCCUCCACACAAUCCCUGCGCGCCGGUGACAUUUUCGACACUGACGAACAAGUGGAGCUGCUCUACCUGCUGGUUUCACAAAGCAGUAAACUACAGAAUAGUAUUGUUUAUAUGGCCAUUAAAUACCACAAGAGAGGAGGAAGGGGAGAACUGGCAGCCAGUUCCACUCGGCACAUCGACUGUGUCGAAUGGUCUCAGAGCUAUUACAGCUUCAACUCUUCUGGGAAGGCUGUCCACAGGGUUGCGGAGUGUGUUUAUAGGAAUUUUCCACCAUUCUUCCAAAAGGGCAUUGGUGAAGUCACACACUGAUGUUUGUCGAGAAGGCCUGGCUCUCAAGUCUCCGUUCUAAUUCAUCCCAAAGGUGUUCUGUCGGGUUCAGGUCAGGACUCUGUGCAGGCCAGUCAAGUUCAUCCACACCAGACUCUGUCAUCCAUGUCUUUAUGGACCUUGCUUUGUGCACUGGUGCACAGUCAUGUUGGAAGAGGAAGGGGCCCGCUCCAAACUGUUCCCACAAGGUUGGGAGCAUGGAAUUGUCCAAAAUGUUUUGGUAUCCUGGAGCAUUCAAAGUUCCUUUCACUGGAACUAAGGGGCCAAGCCCAACUCCUAAAAAACAACCCCACACCAUAAUUCCUCCUCCACCAAAUUUCACACUCGGCACAAUGCAGUCCGAAAUAUAGCGUUCUCCUGGCAACCUCUAAACCCAGACUGGUCCAUCAGAUUGCCAGAUGGAAAAGCGUGAUUCAUCAGUCCAGAGAAGGCGUCUCCACUGCUCUAGAGUCCAGUGGCGACGUGCUUUACACCACUGCAUCCCACGCUUUGCAUUGGACUUGGUGAUGUAUGGCUUAGAUACAGCUGCUCGGCCAUGGAAACCCAUUCCAUGAAGCUCUCUGCGUACUGUACGUGGGCUAAUUGGAAGGUAUCAUGAAGUCUGGAACUCUGUAGCAACUGACUGUGCAGAAAGUCUUUGCACUAUGCGCUUCAGCAUCCGCUGACCCCUCUCUGUCAGUUUACGUGGCCUACCACUUGGUGGCUGAGUUGCUGUUGUUCCCAAACUCUUCCAUUUUCUUAUAAUAAAGCCGACAGUUGACUUUGGAAAAUUUAGGAGCGAUGAAAUUUCACGACUGGAUUUGUUGCACAGGUGGCAUCCUAUGACUGGAAAUCACUGAGAGCGGCCCAUUCUUUCACAAAUGUUUGUAGAAACAGUCUCCAUGCCUAAGUGCUUGAUUUUAUACACCGGGCCAAGUGAUUAGGACACCUGAUUCUCAUCAUUUGGAUGGGUGGAUUUUAUAUAUAUUAUGAUAUUUUUGGGGGUUUUCCAGACUGCAUGUCACUGACAGUAAACCAAAUGCAAACUGGUUUUUCAGGGUGUAGAUUUGAACAUCCAUCCCUCCAUUUCCUACCACUUCUACCUCUCGUGGUCGCGUAGUUGGCUGGAGCCUAUCCCAACUGCAUUCGGGCAGAAGACGGGGUGCACUCUGGACAAGUUGCCCGCCACCUCAUAUAUUCCUCAAAUAUUGGCCUCAACUCCCAACUCAAUUAAUUCCCCCGAAUGGAAAGCAUGAGCCUAUUUGAAUGAUUUUGCUAACCAGAGCAGCAUCAUCUAAUGACAUGUAAAUAUGUGAUGUGACAACUCAUUGUUAUGUGCACACUUUUAAAAAUAAUGAGAUAGCAAUUUUCAGUUUUGCCAACUAUGUUUAACACCCACAGUAUUGGACUUGUGCUUUCAGUCGUGUCCAUUCUGCCUCAGUUUAGGUUCUUGACGGUUUUUUUUUAGUAUUUUCCUUACAGUAGUCCUUCUGUUUUGUUGUGAACCCUUAUUUUGAGUUUUAUUAUUCAUAUUUAUCCAUCCAUUUUCUACCGCUUAUUCCCUUCGGGGUCGCGGGGGCGCUGGAGCCUAUCUCAGCUACAAUAGGGCGGAAGGCGGGGUACACCCUGGACAAGUCGCCACCUCAUCACAGGGCCAACACAGAUAGACAGACAACAUUCACACUCACAUUCACACACUAGGGCCAAUUUAGUGUUGCCAAUCAACCUAUCCCCAGGUGCAUGUCUUUGGAGGUGGGAGGAAGCUGGAGUACCCGGAGGGAACCCACGCAGUCACGGGGAGAACAUGCAAACUCCAUACAGAAAGAUCCCGAGCCCGGGAUUGAACUCAGGACCUUCGUAUUGUGAGGCAGACGCACUAACCCCUCUGUUUUAUGUAUUAUUCUAUAUAAAUAUCAUGUAUUUGUUAUCUAAAACAAACCUUUAGAUAAGACUGUGGAAGUGGCUUCCUCGCAGCUCCACUGUAGACACGGCACAAGAGCCAAGCGUGCAGGUUUAACAAAGUGUUAAUGUUUGUCACAAGAGUUUCCAAAAAGUCUUUCCACGUGUCGUGACGUUGCCGUCGCUCCCGAUCCUCUCUCUCGCUCUGCUCCCGACAACAGAUGAUUAGAUUAACACGUACCACCUGUGAAAUCUAAUCACCUGCCAGCUGUGUCUCGCCGUCAGCACAUGCCCCGCCCCUGCCCGCUGGUGCUCGUCAUCAGUACCAUGGACAGCGGCGGUGACUUUUCCUCCUACAGGCAGCGCUGACUGCACCCGCCCCCACAAAGAUAUAUUGAGUAAAACAAUACAAUAGAACAUACUACUACCAAAUAAUGCGGUGUUUUUCAACCUUUUUUGAGCAAAGGCACAUUUUUUUGCGUUGAAUAAAUCCGAAGGCACACCACCAGCAGACGUCAUUAAAAAACGAAACUCAGUUGACAGUAAAAAGUUGUUGUCGCAAUUGUUGGAUAUGACUUUAAACCAUAACCAAGCAUGCAUCACUAUAGCUCUUGUCUCAAAGUAGGUGUACUUUCACCACCUGUCACAUCACGCCCUGACUUUUUUGGAGUUUAUUGCUGUUUUCCUGUGUGUAGUGUUUUAGUUUGUGUCUUGCGCUCCUAUUUUGGUGGCUUUUUCUCUUUAUUUGGUGUUUUCCUGUAGCAGUUUCAUGUCUUAUAUUUCCCGCGUCUACUUUGUUUUAGCAAUCAAGAAUAUUUCAGUCGUUUUUAUCCUUCUUUGUGGGGACAUUGUUGAUUGUCAUGUCAUGUUCCGAUGUACUUUGUGGACGCCGUCUUUGCGCCACAGUAAGUCUUUGCUGUCGUCCAGCAUUCUGUUUUUGUUUACUUUGCAGCCAGUUCAGUUUUAGUUUUGUUCUGCAUAGCCAUCCCUAAGCUUCAAUACCUUUUCUUAGGGGCACUAACCUUUUGUUUAUUUUUGGUUUAAGCAUUAGACACAAUUUUACCUGCACGCUGCCUCCCGCUGUUCCCGACAUCUACAAAGCAAUUAGCUACCGGCUACCACCUACUGAUAUGGAGGAGUAUUACACGGUUACUCUGCCGAGCUCUAGACAGCACCGACACUCAACAACAACACAUCAUUUGCAGACUAUAAUUACUGGUUUGCAAAAAAUAUUUUUAACCCAAAUAGGUGAAAUUAGAUAAUCUCCCACGGCACACCAGACUGUAUCUCACGGCACAGUGGUUGAAAAACACUGAACUAAUGUAAUAAUAACAUACAGCAUUUACCUUAGAGAGCAGACUUCUGUGGUAUCUCCUUCCAGCUGGUUUCCCGUCAAACACACCAUCACCAGCUUUUUUUACAUUUUCAUGGAUAAAUGUAAGCCGAUUCGGUCUUAAUUUUUUGUCCUUGACUGGCACAAAAGAGGACUUCUGCUUCUAUAUGGUGCGGACUAGCAGCGCUAGACUCAAACUGCCUCCCCAAACUCGCCCACACAUGAUGAUUUCUUUCUUUAAUUCAAUGAAUCACAUCAGCCUCUUUUUCCUCAACACUCACUUUCUUCGUUCUCAUGUUAUAAAACAAGGUUAUGUCAGUCUCUAGCGAUAAGCUAUUGCGAGCGCGUCAAACCUUACAGCAGGGCUAUUCAACCGGUUCAAUCUGUUCAAAACUUGGGAGAUAAACACUUUAGCAGCAAAUUUCUAAAAAAAAAAAAAAGACUGGAGUGCUCCUGUUGUACAGAAGAACUUGGAAAAACUCAGACACAUCCUUGCAUUGACAUUUUAACAUUGCCAGCAAACACAGAACUUGUGAUUACAUACCCGAGGGGUUCCUCAAGGCUCCCCUUUAAGUCCUCUCCUUUUUGAAAGUUGGUUGAGGUACUGCUAUUUAUAUAUUAUUUCAUUAUGAUUACAAUAUUGUGGUUGAACAGAUAAAGGCCUUAUCACUAAUAAAAGUCGGAGCCCCACGAACCAAAACAAUACGGUUGGUUUGUGUUGUUGACAAGCUUUGAGAUGAGUUUUGAGUAAUGACUCACCAUUGUCUAAUGAGGUAUUACACCCCAAUAUGUACAUUUGGGCGAAAAAUAUCCCAUUAUUAAUUUCAUACCAUCAUCAAACUAAGUGAUUCAAUGUUUUUCCUACACGACUUCCAGUUGUCGAAGACAUUGCUUGGUUCUUUCACGCAUGUUGGGACAUUAGGCUCUGAAAAGAAUAGCUGUGCCUUCCAUUAUAUUUAGCUUUAAGAUUGUUUUAUCAUUGAAAAAGAAUCAAGAGAAUACAUUGACGGAGUCCUUGCUGAAGUGCCUGUUUGGCAGUCAGACCAAAAUGUAGUCACGGUUUGUCACACUGUACCACACACCCCAUUUUCUCAUGUGCUUGUAAGCGUGGUGUUAUUAUUGUAAUGUAACGUUUCAGUCUUCUUAAUGUGAUGUCGCCUGUUUGUACAGUCUGCGUUUUUAGAGAAAAAUAAAGACUACUUUAAAAAAAAAUGUGAUAAUUGCCAGUGAUUACAUGAUAUAAAGAAGGGAUUUCUGACCUUUUUCUGGUCUCUCUGUUCAUACCAAAUAUGAGGGCAGAAGGUCAAAACAGACAGUGGAGAUGACAGGCAACAACCUCUUCACGGACACAAAAGGGCAAAUAUAUAGUAGUAUGGGUAUAGUAUAUACUAGACCUGGGAAAAUUAAGCUUUUCAAUCUGGCCCGCCGGACAUUCCCAAAUGACUUUUUUAGAUUUUUAAGAUGGAAACUGUAGCCGCCGUUAUGAUGUGCAGUGAUGUUUUCAAAUGACCGUAAG
RNA transcript from Nerophis lumbriciformis (worm pipefish), 7271 nucleotides. It is a transcript of the gene named polypeptide N-acetylgalactosaminyltransferase 13, with no coding region annotated. The record is from RefSeq and is a predicted model, not a curated record. Lineage: Eukaryota; Metazoa; Chordata; Actinopteri; Syngnathiformes; Syngnathidae.